AUGCUGGACAUGGGCAGGGGCCGCCUCAAGGAGACGGUGGAGGCGCUGAGGGUGGAGGAUGCCGGGUUGCUACAGGGUCUCGGGGCACUGCACGUCGCCGCUAACCGAGGGAGGCUGGAGGUGUGCAGGUACUUGGUCGAGGAACUGCAGGUUGAUGUGAACGCCGUCGACAAGGGAGGUAGAACACCUCUGUUUUUUGCGAUAUCUUGUAAGGGUGUGGGUAUUGCCAAAUAUCUUCUUGAUCAUGGUGCCAAUCCAAACAAAAGCUGCCACGAUGGGCUUUCCCCUUUACAUGAAGCCACUGCAUCAGGAGAUUGUGAAACUGUUAAACUAUUGCUUGCUAAAGGAGCCUAUAUUGACCCGGUAGCCUUUUGUGGGACACCACUUCAUUGCGCUGCUACUCAAGGGCAUGACGGCAUUUUGAAGAUUUUGCUGGACCACAAUGCAGACCGCAAUAAAGAGGUAAAUGGCAAGACGCCUCUCAUUGCAGCUGUAGAUGCUGACUCAAGGAACUGUAUGCUUCUCCUGAUUAGGGCUGGUGCUGACACCAAGGGAGCUUUAACCUAUGCUGCGGAGAAUCUCCAUUCUCAAAAACUUGUUUCAACUGACUUCGUCAAUUGCAUUAAGGAGGACGCUGCUGCCAACCGUGUUCUUCCAGAUGAUGAGCCUGUGUCUAAAAGCAAAACUAGAGCGGCAGGGUUUAAGAAACUUGCGAACAACUCUUUCAAGAAGAAGGAUUAUUUUUCUGCAGCAGGAUCCUACAGUGUGGCAAUGAUGCUUGAUCCAGAUGAUGCGACCAUGUACUCAAACAGGAGCCUUUGCUCGCUCCGCAUGGGUGACGGAGACAAGGCUUUGAUAGAUGCUAACGAAUGCAGGAAAAUGCGGCCUGAUUGGCCAACAGCCUGUUACCGGCAAGGCGCGGCUCUGAUGUUACUGAAGGAUUACAAGGGUGCUUGCGAACAUUUCCUGGAUGGACUCAAGUUGGACCCAGCUAACACUGAGAUUGAGGAUGCAUUACGGUAUCCCAUCUGCCUCUUUUUUGUUGUUUGUGGCAAACCCAUCAUUGGUUGCAUUAUGCAUUGUGAGGAACCAAACAUACUUAUAUUAGUAUUUAUUAAGUUCUUGUUGUGCUUUUGCUCCUAA
This 1143-nucleotide ribosomal RNA is filed under the name Triticum aestivum (bread wheat). RNAcentral's name for it is "partial small subunit ribosomal RNA". The record is from RNAcentral. Lineage: Eukaryota; Viridiplantae; Streptophyta; Magnoliopsida; Poales; Poaceae.